This 3071-nucleotide ribosomal RNA is filed under the name Campylobacter jejuni. RNAcentral describes it as "23S ribosomal RNA". It matches the Rfam family "Bacterial large subunit ribosomal RNA". The record is from RNAcentral. Lineage: Bacteria; Pseudomonadati; Campylobacterota; Epsilonproteobacteria; Campylobacterales; Campylobacteraceae.
AAAAAAGGUAAGCUACUAAGAGCGAAUGGUGGAUGCCUUGACUGGUAAAGGCGAUGAAGGACGUACUAGACUGCGAUAAGCUACGGGGAGCUGUCAAGAAGCUUUGAUCCGUAGAUUUCCGAAUGGGGCAACCCAAUGUAUAGAGAUAUACAUUACCUAUAUAGGAGCGAACGAGGGGAAUUGAAACAUCUUAGUACCCUCAGGAAAAGAAAUCAAUAGAGAUUGCGUCAGUAGCGGCGAGCGAAAGCGCAAGAGGGCAAACCCAGUGCUUGCACUGGGGGUUGUAGGACUGCAAUGUGCAAGAGGUGAGUUUAGCAGAACAUUCUGGAAAGUAUAGCCAUAGAGGGUGAUAGUCCCGUAUGCGAAAAACAAACCUUAGCUAGCAGUAUCCUGAGUAGGGCGGGACACGAGAAAUCCUGUCUGAAGCUGGGUCGACCACGAUCCAACCCUAAAUACUAAUACCAGAUCGAUAGUGCACAAGUACCGUGAGGGAAAGGUGAAAAGAACUGAGGUGAUCAGAGUGAAAUAGAACCUGAAACCAUUUGCUUACAAUCAUUCAGAGCCCUAUGUAGCAAUACAGGGUGAUGGACUGCCUUUUGCAUAAUGAGCCUGCGAGUUGUGGUGUCUGGCAAGGUUAAGCAAACGCGAAGCCGUAGCGAAAGCGAGUCUGAAUAGGGCGCUUAGUCAGAUGCUGCAGACCCGAAACGAAGUGAUCUAUCCAUGAGCAAGUUGAAGCUAGUGUAAGAACUAGUGGAGGACUGAACCCAUAGGCGUUGAAAAGCCCCGGGAUGACUUGUGGAUAGGGGUGAAAGGCCAAUCAAACUUCGUGAUAGCUGGUUCUCUCCGAAAUAUAUUUAGGUAUAGCGUUGUGUCGUAAUAUAAGGGGGUAGAGCACUGAAUGGGCUAGGGCAUACACCAAUGUACCAAACCCUAUCAAACUCCGAAUACCUUAUAUGUAAUCACAGCAGUCAGGCGGCGAGUGAUAAAAUCCGUCGUCAAGAGGGAAACAACCCAGACUACCAGCUAAGGUCCCUAAAUCUUACUUAAGUGGAAAACGAUGUGAAGUUACUUAAACAACCAGGAGGUUGGCUUAGAAGCAGCCAUCCUUUAAAGAAAGCGUAAUAGCUCACUGGUCUAGUGAUUUUGCGCGGAAAAUAUAACGGGGCUAAAGUAAGUACCGAAGCUGUAGACUUGCACACAACUUAGAUUAUUUAAGUUUAGAAUAUGAGAAACUAAGUUAUAUGUUUAGUUAUAUUUUUACUGAUUUUUAUAGAGUAAAGAUAGAAAUAAAACUUAGUAAAAUCAGUAAAAAUAUUCUUAGACUAAAGUUAAGUAGUUUAAGUUGUGUGCAAGUGGUAGGAGAGCGUUCUAUUUGCGUCGAAGGUAUACCGGUAAGGAGUGCUGGAGCGAAUAGAAGUGAGCAUGCAGGCAUGAGUAGCGAUAAUUAAUGUGAGAAUCAUUAACGCCGUAAACCCAAGGUUUCCUACGCGAUGCUCGUCAUCGUAGGGUUAGUCGGGUCCUAAGUCGAGUCCGAAAGGGGUAGACGAUGGCAAAUUGGUUAAUAUUCCAAUACCAACAUUAGUGUGCGAUGGAAGGACGCUUAGGGCUAAGGGGGCUAGCGGAUGGAAGUGCUAGUCUAAGGUCGUAGGAGGUUAUACAGGCAAAUCCGUAUAACAAUACUCCGAGAACUGAAAGGCUUUUUGAAGUCUUCGGAUGGAUAGAAGAACCCCUGAUGCCGUCGAGCCAAGAAAAGUUUCUAAGUUUAGCUAAUGUUGCCCGUACCGUAAACCGACACAGGUGGGUGGGAUGAGUAUUCUAAGGCGCGUGGAAGAACUCUCUUUAAGGAACUCUGCAAAAUAGCACCGUAUCUUCGGUAUAAGGUGUGGUUAGCUUUGUAUUAGGAUUUACUCCGAAAGCAAGGAAACUUACAACAAAGAGUCCCUCCCGACUGUUUACCAAAAACACAGCACUCUGCUAACUCGUAAGAGGAUGUAUAGGGUGUGACGCCUGCCCGGUGCUCGAAGGUUAAUUGAUGGGGUUAGCAUUAGCGAAGCUCUUGAUCGAAGCCCGAGUAAACGGCGGCCGUAACUAUAACGGUCCUAAGGUAGCGAAAUUCCUUGUCGGUUAAAUACCGACCUGCAUGAAUGGCGUAACGAGAUGGGAGCUGUCUCAAAGAGGGAUCCAGUGAAAUUGUAGUGGAGGUGAAAAUUCCUCCUACCCGCGGCAAGACGGAAAGACCCCGUGGACCUUUACUACAGCUUGACACUGCUAUUUGGAUAAGAAUGUGCAGGAUAGGUGGGAGGCUUUGAGUAUAUGACGCCAGUUGUAUAUGAGCCAUUGUUGAGAUACCACUCUUUCUUAUUUGGGUAGCUAACCAGCUUGAGUUAUCCUCAAGUGGGACAAUGUCUGGUGGGUAGUUUGACUGGGGCGGUCGCCUCCCAAAUAAUAACGGAGGCUUACAAAGGUUGGCUCAGAACGGUUGGAAAUCGUUCGUAGAGUAUAAAGGUAUAAGCCAGCUUAACUGCAAGACAUACAAGUCAAGCAGAGACGAAAGUCGGUCUUAGUGAUCCGGUGGUUCUGUGUGGAAGGGCCAUCGCUCAAAGGAUAAAAGGUACCCCGGGGAUAACAGGCUGAUCUCCCCCAAGAGCUCACAUCGACGGGGAGGUUUGGCACCUCGAUGUCGGCUCAUCGCAUCCUGGGGCUGGAGCAGGUCCCAAGGGUAUGGCUGUUCGCCAUUUAAAGCGGUACGCGAGCUGGGUUCAGAACGUCGUGAGACAGUUCGGUCCCUAUCUGCCGUGGGCGUAAGAAGAUUGAAGAGAUUUGACCCUAGUACGAGAGGACCGGGUUGAACAAACCACUGGUGUAGCUGUUGUUCUGCCAAGAGCAUCGCAGCGUAGCUAAGUUUGGAAAGGAUAAACGCUGAAAGCAUCUAAGCGUGAAGCCAACUCUAAGAUGAAUCUUCUCUAAGCUCUCUAGAAGACUACUAGUUUGAUAGGCUGGGUGUGUAAUGGAUGAAAGUCCUUUAGCUGACCAGUACUAAUAGAGCGUUUGGCUUAUCUUUAAUAAAGCAU